CCUACGGGCGGCUGCAGUGGGGAAUAUUGGACAAUGGGGGCAACCCUGAUCCAGCCAUGCCGCGUGUGUGAAGAAGGCCCUCGGGUUGUAAAGCACUUUCAGUGAGGAAGAACGCCUGGUGGUUAAUACCCAUCAGGAAAGACAUCACUCACAGAAGAAGCACCGGCUAACUCCGUGCCAGCAGCCGCGGUAAUACGGAGGGUGCGAGCGUUAAUCGGAAUUACUGGGCGUAAAGCGCGCGUAGGUGGCUUGAUAAGCCGGUUGUGAAAGCCCCGGGCUCAACCUGGGAACGGCAUCCGGAACUGUCAAGCUAGAGUGUAGUAGUGGAAGGUAGAAUUCCCGGUGUAGCGGUGAAAUGCGUAGAGAUCGGGAGGAAUACCAGUGGCGAAGGCGGCCUUCUGGACUGAGACUGACGCUGAGGUGCGAAAGCGUGGGUAGCAAACAGGAUUAGAUACCCUUGUAGUC
This 465-nucleotide ribosomal RNA is filed under the name Vreelandella stevensii. RNAcentral describes it as "partial 16S ribosomal RNA". It matches the Rfam family "Bacterial small subunit ribosomal RNA", at positions 338 to 795 of the family's 1533-position model. The record is from RNAcentral. Lineage: Bacteria; Pseudomonadati; Pseudomonadota; Gammaproteobacteria; Oceanospirillales; Halomonadaceae.